Molecule: long non-coding RNA, 2139 nt
Organism: Cygnus olor (mute swan)
Lineage: Eukaryota; Metazoa; Chordata; Aves; Anseriformes; Anatidae
Exons: 5
Source: RefSeq, a predicted model, not a curated record
UAGCCUUAGAGCUUUUACUAUCUGCUGCCCUUCUGCAGCUGCAGUGGUGCUCAUGUUGACAGGAAGAAGUGACAAGAUGUGUAGGCAUGGAAGCCAAUGAGGUUCUGAAGGCAAACAGAAGAUCAGCAUUUGAACUGACAGCAGCAAGAGCUUUGAAAUAAUCUGGUUAACUGAAGAGUUUCAAGGGAGGAAAAUCUAUGUGUGUAGGGAAUAUGCUGAAAUGGUUGUGGUGCCAACAGUCUGAAUAGUCCAGGGUCGUAAAUGAAAUUUAUGAGUCAUUGAACAUCUCAGGUGAGUUCUGGUGAUUUGCUGAAAAACACAGCUGUUCUGUAUUUGGGUGCUUUAGGCACAGUACUCCCACUCAGCACUAGCUGUCUGCAUUGUCUAUCUAGUAUCUCUCUGAUUGCCCGUAAGGUUAACAAAUUCAUGACUAGUGAUAUGGUUGCAAAUACAACUGCAAUCCUCAGGCUGUGAAUGAGGUCAGGAUUACAGAUAUGCAUUAGUAAUAGAGUUAGUGAUAAAUCUAAAUGAAGGAAGGCAGACAAAGAAGCAUUUUUAUAUGUAUUUUAUUAAUGAAAUGAUGAGAUAAGAGAGAUGAGUCUGUGACCAUGAGUGGACAAUGAGCAAACUUGUCAACAUGGGAAGACAGAAAGCUUAGCCCUGCAUUAUCCUUCAGGGCAAGCUGAAAGGACAGAACAGGAAACCAUAUUGGAUGCUUUUACUUUCUGCAAGGACAAAAAGACAGUGAAGAAAACUGACAGUUGGAAAAAUGAGAUGAACUACUUAGUAAUUUUCAUCUCUUAAAUAAUUGCCAUGAUGCUAAGAAAAGCUUCUUCUUCAGAUGAGUACCAUCUACAACUGAUUCUUAGACCGACAACCAAGGGCAAUAGAAACCUACAGAACUGUGACUCAUCUUUGAAGAAAUUUUCAGUGCUGAAACCCUACCAAGAUGCUUUUCUCAUAGAAGACACUACUUUGUCCUUUUCACAAAGACAAAUAGAAAUCAACAGUACAUAAGUCAAAAACACGAAUGAAAAAGCAGUAAUUCAACAUUUUGACAUACUUGUCUAAAAAUGAAUAAAAACUCUUUUACUGAGUCAAACCAGUCAGGUAUAGGGAGUGACCAAAACUGAAUACUGAAAAUAAAACAUGAUUUACACACAAGCACACAUAGAUGUGUGGCAUCCCACAACUGGCAUCCCACGUGUGAUGAUCUGCAGCUUAAGGCCUUCCAUGGCCAGAAUGAUAUUUUUUCACCGAAGUGUUUGACUGUCACAAUGCCAGUUACUGGGUAUGACUGAUAUGAUCAGUAGAGAUAAAAGGCAAUGCUGGUGUCUCAUACAGGAGAAUCAGAAACUGAGUAAAGCGGAAAUAUAAUAAAAUCAUAGUAUGGUUGUGGAAGGGAAUGUAUUUGUAGGGCACUUUCUCAUGGAGCUGGUAGACAGGCAAUACCAUCCAUAAAUUCUUCAUUGUAGGAAACAGAAAAUUUCCAGCUGAUGGCAUGGAUGUUCACAGACUACUGAACUGUGUUUUUCUGUUAUUCUGAAUUGGAGAGGAAGAUGGAAGAACAUGUGACUGAGAAAUGUCUAGAAGCAGAUGCCAGGAAGAGUUUGUUUUUUAUAUGCUGCUCCCUUGGCCUUUUUAAAUUGGGAAGGGAUCCCAGAGGUACCCAGCCAUGUAAUCUACAGCAGAGAAAUUGCUCUGAGCCCCAAAACAAAGCUUAAAGCAUAAGAUGUGAAGAUGAACUCAUUUCUUUCCAUACUCACAGGGCUAUUUCUGAGUUAAACUGCACUUCUGUAGGCAGGAGCUGUAAAGGACAUAAGACACAUGAAAUGCCAUCUCAACUGCUUACAGCAACAGUCAGUAUUUUGGAAGCAGGUUGCAAGUCUGCCCACGAUGCUAGUUGGUCCAGGAUUGCCUCCCUUCUCAUUAUCAGGGAUCUUGAGAGGGCAAAAUAGCAAGAGGAAUACAUUUGUUUACACUAAAAAACCUGUCUGAUUUUAGAAUAUUUAAAAUAAGCAAAGAAAACAAGUAGCCAGCAUGUGGCUUCUCCUAUUGAAUUGAAUUGAAUAAUUUACAUCCCACAAAGUCAUAGAAUGGAAAAUAUGUUUUAAAUGGGGUCUUUAGGUUUGCCUUUAA